GUGGGGAAUAUUGGACAAUGGGCGAAAGCCUGAUCCAGCCAUGCCGCGUGUGUGAAGAAGGUCUUCGGAUUGUAAAGCACUUUAAGUUGGGAGGAAGGGCAGUAAGUUAAUACCUUGCUGUUUUGACGUUACCGACAGAAUAAGCACCGGCUAACUUCGUGCCAGCAGCCGCGGUAAUACGAAGGGUGCAAGCGUUAAUCGGAAUUACUGGGCGUAAAGCGCGCGGAGGUGGUUUUGUAAGUUGGAGGUGAAAUCCCCGGGCUCAACCUGGGAACUGCCUCCAAAACUGCAUGACUAGAGUACGGUAGAGGGUAGUGGAAUUUCCUGUGUAGCGGUGAAAUGCGUAGAUAUAGGAAGGAACACCAGUGGCGAGGGCGACUACCUGGACUGAUACUGACACUGAGGUGCGAAAGCGUGGGGAGCAAACAGGAUUAGAUACCCUUGUAGUCC
RNAcentral lists this ribosomal RNA (450 nucleotides) under uncultured bacterium. RNAcentral's name for it is "partial 16S ribosomal RNA". It matches the Rfam family "Bacterial small subunit ribosomal RNA", at positions 354 to 796 of the family's 1533-position model. The record is from RNAcentral.